RNAcentral lists this ribosomal RNA (468 nucleotides) under uncultured bacterium. Its description in RNAcentral is "partial 16S ribosomal RNA". It matches the Rfam family "Bacterial small subunit ribosomal RNA", at positions 28 to 507 of the family's 1533-position model. The record is from RNAcentral.
GACGAACGCUGGCGGCGUGCUUAAUACAUGCAAGUCGAACGCAGAGGGCCUGCUUUUCUGUGGUGCUCGAGUGGCGAACGGGUGAGUAACACGUGAGUAACCUGCCCGUUACUUUGGGAUAACUUCAGGAAACUAUAGCUAAUACCGCAUAAGAGCACAUGUUGCAUGGUGUUUGCUUGAAAGUUUCGGCGGUUGGGGAUGCACUCGCGGCUUAGUAGCUUGUUGGUGAGGUUGUGGCUUCGCCUGGCUAUGACGAGUAGCCGGACUGGGAGGGUGACAGGCCACAUAGGGACUGAGGUGCGGCCAAGACUGCUACGGGAGGAAGAAGCGGGGGAUAGAGCAAGAUGGGCGGCGGCAUGAUGCAGCAACGCCGGGUGCGGGAGGACGGUCGUCGGGUUGGAAACCGCGUGAGCCUGGGACGAAGAGUGAGUGACGGUAAUGGGUAAAGAAGCACCGGCUAACUACGUG